This is a non-coding RNA of Trichobilharzia regenti, 46 nucleotides long. NCBI's taxonomy places the organism in Eukaryota, Metazoa, Platyhelminthes, Trematoda, Strigeidida, Schistosomatidae. The record is from Rfam.
GUACUGAUGAAGGGUCCCAGACUAGGACGAAACAGCUGUCCAUUAC